ACAAUAAUAAGGAAACCUAAAAUCAAGGAGAAAUAACUGCCAGAAUUAAUAAUUCAAAUUCAAAUAUAUUAGAUCUAACAACAAAAACAAAUUCAAAUUCAAAAUAAAUAAUUCAAAUUCAAAUAUUCAAAUUCGCUUCUCUUCUUUGUAAUCCUCUUCCUCACAUUCUUCUUUGAAACCACAACAUUGUCAAUCUUUUUGUUCCUCAAUAAUUUCCCAGCAAUCACUUCAGUUCUUACAUCAGCAACAUUAUCAUUUAAAUCUGCAACAAGCCGUAAUUCCUUAUCAUUCUUUUCCAUCUCUUUCACUGCCCUUUUCCCUCUCUUCUGCACAACAACCGGACUGGAAAUUAAAACCUUAAUCGUGGAUAUUUGAUUUUUUACAAUUUCUUCAUGUCCGAAAAUUUCAAUUCCAAUUUCAUAUCCAAAGGAAAAUAAGAACACUGCAUAGGAAAGAGAGAGAUAAGAGAGUGAAUGUAAUGUUGAUAACCAAACCUUCGUACCAAGAUAACCAAACUUUUAUACCAAGGUAACCAAUCUACCUCCACACCUGCAGUAUGAAUUGGUUACCUUGGUCUGAAAGUUUGGCAACCAACUGCAUGAAGGUUUGGUUACCAACUGCAUGAAGGUUUGGUUAACAACUGCAUUACAUUCAAAAUAAAUUGGUAACUUAAUAAAACAGAAUUGGUUACCUUGGUAUGAAGGUUUGGCAACCAACUGCAUGAAGGUUUGGCUACCAACUGUAUCACAUUCAAAAUAAUUGGUAACUUAAUAAAACUGAAUUAGUUACCUUGGUACGAAGGUUUGAAUACCCACUGCACUAUAAAACAACUGAAGAGGACGUCGGAGAAGCAAUUGAGGUUUCCGGUCGACCAUCGGAGGGAGACGGGGAGUGGAUGAGGAGGGUGGAGGAGGAGGAGGGCCGACCCAUAAUCUUUGUAUUAUUUUGGCAUGAUAGCGGAAGUUGGAGGAGGGCAGAGAGAAAGUGGGAAGUGAGAGGAACGAGGAGAAAUAUGUAUAAUUUUUUGUGUCGGAUAAGCGUACCGUUAGGUUGAAUUAAAGGCUGACGACGACGAAUCAAAUUGAUCAAAGGGAAGAGAAGACGAUGAGAAAGAUAACAGAUGGCUUAAGGUGGGAAGAUUCUGGUUUUCGCAAAGAUAAUUGGGGUUGGAGAGAGAAAGGGAGAUUGUAAUGUAAAGAACGAAGUUUUAUUUUUUUGAUAUUCCCAACCAACACUACUUUAAUUAAUAAUCAAAAAUAAGUAGCCAAAUUCGUGUGAUAUACGUACAAAUAUUUUGGUUUCCGUUAUUAUAAAUCUCUAAAUUAACGAAUCCUAAUUUCAUACUAAUUUUCUAAAUUAAAGAAUCAUAAUUGCACUAAUAUUGUAAAUAAAUAUGGAAGGUGUAUUAAUUAUAUAAAUAUUUUAUGAGUGCACUAUUGUUGUAAUAAUUUUUAAAAAUGUAAUAGAAUAUGUAAUUUAUCCAUAAUUUAAAUAGAUGCUAGGCUAAGCUAUAGGAGGUUGUUAUGGGUCAAGUUGCUGCAAGAGGCAAGGGGGUAAGGUAGCUAAUAUAGGGGCCAAGUAGGGUGUAACAGCUAAGCUUAAUAGAGGCCAACUGACUGCUCUGUCAGGGGGCUGAAUGAGGCCAUAACAUAGCCAGGUACAGGCUGAAGAAAGCCAGCAGUAGAGCCAUGAUGGCUCGCCAAAGUCCAGCCAUAUAUGUCCACACCUUACACCCAAGUUCAGUAGCUAUACCAAUAUACUAAGUGCUAAAAUCAGUAGAAGUCAUCUAGUGAAAGUGUAAGAAUCUGACUGGUAAAGGAGAAGACUUGAUCAAUAAAACAACCAUCAAUCUAUCUAUCUUGAAGUCUAUAAACAAGCAGCCCGACAAGGUAUACUAGUAAAUUGAACCUUUUUCCAUUCCAUUUUGAUGAUUGCAUAGACUGAUUUGUGGUUGGGUGACUUAAAAGGGCUGUUACAUAGAACUUUUGUUAUGGACUUCUUUAUGAUAAUAUUAGUGACUGUUAUGAUAACAUUGUUAUGAUUAUGUGAUAUAUGUAUAAAGACCCUUAGCAAUUAAAUCCAAACGGCUGGUAAAUUAGAUAGGAAAAUGAAUUGUUUCAUAUAAAUAAAUAGCAUGCCUACUAACUGUUUGAUAAAAUGCUAAUGUAGGGAUUGUUAUGGUAUAGAAACAUACUAGAUGUGUGAUAUUCAUGUCUAAAAACAUAUCUAUAUGCUAUCAUAGUAAGAGUAAUGCCUCAAGUAUCAUUCUAUGAUCAAAUGUAUCAUGUUUUAAAGCAAAUUACAUACCAUGAUAGCUUUGUUUAUGAACAAAAAAAAUUAAUUUUUUGAUUGAGUUAGUUAGCUUAAUGUUGACUGUUAUGUCUUGAUUCUAGUGUGGUUUAUAUGCUAUAACAAGGGGUAAAUAUAUCGAAUCUUGAAAGCUAAUUAUAAUGGUGGAGGCUUAAGUUUCAUUUUCAUUCCAAAACAGGACAGUAUGGGCAUGUUUGAAAUAGGCCAGACCAGGCCACUGUUUUGGAGAACUUGUAAGCUAGCUAGAAGGCUUGGUUAUGCACUGAUUAGUGUUUUAAAUACUUGAGCUAUCCGGAUAGAGAGCAUUAUAUUGAAUUUUAUGUACAAAAGUCAGUCUAUGAUCAUGUGAAUACGAGACCAUGCCAUCCUUUGUUAACCAUGUAACUAGCUCAUGCUUUCUAGAGGAAUUUAAAGCCUAUAGAGGACUGUUUUGAACUAAAACAUUAGGCAUUACAUCGGUGUGUUCUUAAGCAUGAAUAUAUAGUAUAUAUACAGUAAAUAUGUGAUGUGAUAAUACUUGUAUUUGAAUACUUGAAACUGUUAUGGUAAGGUGGUACUACAUCAUGCCUAAAAUGACAUAAAUGGACUGUUUUGGAUAUUAGAAAGACAACUAAAUGUUACAAGCAUGAUAAUGGAUUUAGGUUUAUGUUAAUAUCAUUUUUUAAAAGUUGUUUGAAUGCCUAAAGGUUUCCUUUGCCUUCAUGGGGACAUUUUAUGAAAUUAUCGACAAAACUAUGCCUAUGUAUGAACUGUUAUAGAAAAUUUUGGCAACUGAAUUUGUGAGACAGUAUGAAGUCCCUAUAUUGCUUAUAUUUAUCAUUUGAAAUUUGUUCCUUAAGUUAGUUAAGGUCUACAAGGUGUGUUGUGCACAUUCAUGCCUAAAAACCAAUGAAAGUAAGCUUUAAAUAGCAAUGAACACCAAAAUGAAGAACCACCAUACCUGGAUCACAUAGGCAAGUUUCAAUAGUCAUAAUAUGACAUAAGUAAGCUAUUACAAGCUAAAGAAACCAAGCCUAAAUUGUUUUGAGCAUUAGACCAAAAGUGGACUUUUUGUGUAAUUCUUAGCACCUGAACUUAUAAGACUAAAAUGAACUCAUGUAAAGUUGCUAAUGCAUGCUUAUAAUGGUUCCCAAUCAUUGCCAUGACCAAAGCUUGUAAGAAAACCAAGUUAAGAUUUAUUUUCAAGCCUAAAGUGAGCUUUGAUAGGUCAAAAUUGUCUAGAUGAUUGAAUAAAGUAUGGUGAUGCUAAAAGUAUCCUUAAGUAGCUUAAAUACACAUGUCUAGACUAUCCUAUUGGCCAAAACUGGAAAAUUUUGGAAAAAGUUCAAAAACAAUUAAUUUUUGUAAAAAAGUUAUAAUAAAACUGCCCAGUUGGAGCCCUAUUUUGGGAAGCCUAAUUGGCAUGAAUAAGAAACCUAAAACUUGACUAAAAUACCUUGAUGUAUGUUCUAGAUGCAGGGAAAAACGGUUGAACCAAGAACUUAACCCAGAAAUUUAAACAAAUCAUCAAACCAACCUACAAAAUAAACAAAACUGCAUAUUCUGCAGAUUUUUUGAAGUGUAAAAUUGGGAUUUUGCCAUUUUACUUAAAUCUGAGUUUUAACACCUUAGACAAAUGAGUUAGAGGUGUCCUAGGUUAUUCCAAGUGUUGGAAUGCUAAUGUAUACAAGAACUUGAGAAAUUAGUAUGUAAAAGCUUGAAAAAACUAUGUUUAGAAGGUCAAAACCAAAUAUAUAUUUAGCAAAGUCAAGGAAAUACUAAAACUAGUCUUCACUAGUAAUAAUUCAAGUGUUGGAAUGAACCCAAUAGGCCAAAAAUGAAAAUGGCAAGUAUUGACCAAAGUUAGUAAAAGUUAAAACUGUGAUAAACAACCUAGUUUGAGCAUUAGUUUCGAGAAACAUAAAAGGCUUACUUGAGUAACCAAACCAACACAAAAAUACCUUGGUAUACAGUCUAGAAGUAUGACCAUAGUUCAUGUGUAAAAGCCUAAUACAAAAAAUUAUAAAAAUCAUCAAAGAAGCCUUGAAAAUCAUAAAAACUGCAGAUUUUGCUGGGUAAGAAAAGGUGUGAAACAGGCCAUUUGGGGCCUGUUUUUGAAUUUCUUAAUUAACUUGAUAGUUUUAAAGACCUAAACGAAGAAUAAAAUAUUUUCGUAUGUGUUCUAUAAUAUUGUACAAAUAGAAGGUUCAAAAGGUUACUAUAGAAAUUACUAAAAAUCGUCAAAAGUACCUCAAAAAUCAUAAUUUUGUGUUUUUGAGUUAUAUUUUAAAAUUGAAAUUUAAGGCUUGUAAAUGUCUUAGCACGACUAAAUAAAAUAAUAAAAGUUUUUUAUGAUCUAAGAUCUAUAUCAUGACAUGUUUGAGGUUUAUCAAGUAUGCUUUGGGAUGUAUCUAAGCUAUAAAUAAGUUGUUUGCCUAUGUGAACUAUUUAUAAUAAAGUGCUAUAUAUGUAUGUACUAAACUGUGAAAAUGAAUGGUGUCAAGCUAAGUGUUUAUGUGUGCUUAACUGUAUUUGCAAAUAAAAGCUAUCUAUGUGAUGGUUUAAUGUUAGUAAGUAACUUAUCUAAUAGUUAUUGAAUACAACUUCAAUAACCAUAGUUGAGCUAUGUAAAUUAAUAAAGUACACUUUGUGCUAAAAGAAAAUUAAAUAAACCAAUACUAGAUAUAUGUAGGCUACUCAGUGGCAAAGCACUUUCUUAAAAAGUUUAAUCAAAGCGAAAGGCAAGUAUAUCAAACCUUUCUCUCAUAACUAUGUUUAUAUUAUAGUAUUCAACUCAAAAGCUAUCUUUUCAAGUUAUUCAACUUAUUAUACUAUAAUGCUUCAAAUGUUGAAAAAUAUUGAUAUUAUUCAUUCAUGAUAAUCUCAUUUAAUGUUCUCCAAACCAUUUUGUUAUGGUGCAGACUCUUAUAUAAUGUUAUGAUUGAACAACCCUUUUAUGGGGCAUAAGACCGGACAUGAUUCCGAAGGACAUGUAAUGUGUCAUUAGAUUGUUAUGUUGUGCACAAUAUAGGGUACUUAGGUUCAUCCCCUAAAGUACAAGUCUAGGAUAUAGUUCAGUUUUAAUAAUUGUUUGUAUACAUGGAUUGCAGUUUUAGUACUGUCAAUUCUAGUACAGAGUUUGCUGGUUAUUUGACCUUACAACAUGCUAAAGUCUGAUUCUUAAACACACAGCUUUUGAAAGGAUUUUUUUUCUCAGUAUCUCAUUAAUUAAUUCAUUAAUUAUAUAUGUAUAUUUCUAUUCUAUUAUAUUCAAAUGUUUAUUUCCUUGCUGAGCAAGCUUUUGCUCACCCGUGAAAUAUAAUGUUUUCAGUUAAAACCAAGCCCGCUGGUACGUCCGGAAAGGAUAAGGGAAAAUGCAAAGUUGCAGAAUAAUUUGUUAUUAAGCAUAUGUGUUUAAAUGAACUUUAAAUAGUUAUUGUAAUAACUACCUUUAGUAUUAUGUUUUGUAAUAUUAUUUGGUAUUUAAGUUAUGUAAAGUUCUAUAGAACUUGAGAUUUAAGCAAGAUAAUAUGUAAUCUAAGACAAGUUUAAAUUAGUAAUAUGUUGGGAUGUAUGGAUAUGAUAGUAUUGUGAGCACCAAACCCGAUCAAGAUAAAGGUAACCCGAAUUUGGGGGUGUCACAAUAUAUGUUAUAAAUGUAUAAUUAUCCAAUUUUGAUUAAUAAUUUUAAUAUAUGUUAUUAUAAUGCAUAAAUUAAAUUGUAUGGAAAUAUAUUGUAAUAUAUGUAUUAUGUUUUUGGGUGUAUUAUGUUUUUGGGUGGAAGGAAUGUCGUAUAAUGUAUGUAUGUUGUAAACAUGACUUAAGGUUUAUAAUGAUAAUGUAAUAUAUGUGUUAUAUAAGUCAUGUAUGUUGAGACCUUAAAAAGAUUAAUGCAUGGCUUAGUCAUUAAACUUAAGCUGGAGGUGUCAUUGUAUUAGGCCAUUAAGGACACUGCAUAUAUCAGAUAAAUGAAAGAAAGGCUAAGAAGAAUAAACAAUUAUAAGCUUUCUUAUUACUAUCCCUUCUGUUUCAUACAAAGUACUUUUAUGCCCAACUUCUCUAUUCUCAUAUUAAUUACAAACAUAAACAUCAAAUUCUACAAACAAUCCACAAAAUCUUUAAAAAUAUAAGCCAUCAACUUAGGUUACAAAAGAAUUUAUGUAACAUAUUGGCAACAGAAGGAUAAAAUUCAACCUAAAACAAGCUUGGAACAAAGAUUUAACCAAGUUAUCAAACAAGAGAGGUAAGUUCCACUUACUUUCUAAAUUCAUGAAAUAAAAGUAAAUAAUAUAUGUGAUUAUUGUGUUUAGUUGUGGGAGGUUAUGUGUUGGGUAAUCAGAUGGAUUUCGAAGAUUUACUGGUGGAUUGUUGGAGAAUAUGUGGUUAAACAUGUUUAAAUUCUUAUGAAAUCCCGAGUUUUUAAGCUAUGCACACAAAGAGUUUGUUAAAAUGCCUCAAUGAGGCUAUUAUGUUAAAGCAUGAGAAUUCGUUAAAGUUUUGUGCUAGAUAAUGUACAUACAUAAGUUAUAAGAUAACUCAAGUGGUUUAAGUGUAUUGAAACAAGCCCAACAUGAGUUUUAUGAAUUUUCUAUCAAAAUGGUUUCAACCUAAAUUUGUUUUAACAUGGAACUUUUGAGCCUUUGUAUUCGUGCCUUAGAAAACUCUUUUUGGUCAUGUAAUAUUUUUCUAAUAUAUUAUGUAGUAUAAUCUCAAACAUGUACAAAUUUGAAAUUAAUUGAGUAAGAAGAUCACAAGAUAUGAAUUUUCAAAGUGGCUAGAAAAAUAAAAAAUUACUAGGAAUUCUGGGUUCUGGGCAGGGGCUCAGCGCGACAUCGUUGCUCCCAAGCGUUGCAGCGCUGGCUGCCAGCCAGCAUUCCAACUUUCAUUUUUUAUUCCGAUUUUGAUCUUGAGUAGUUAAAUAAUAAAAUAUAUUUUAAUGUGUAAUUAAUCUAUAAUCAGACUAAUAAAUUUAACGUAGUUAGUUUUUUGAUCGAAGUUCGUGGAAUGCGUUUAUGUUAAGCUUUGUAUUGUCUUAAUUAUAUUACAUAGGUAUUAGCGGGAUAAUAACGCUUCGAGUAAGCAAAAACAGAUAGAAUCAAUAACGUUUCAUCGUAGAGGCAAAUAUUUCAACUCUUUUCUAUAAUCAAUUUCUUGAUAAGCAAUCCUUGUCCAAGUAUGAGCUUUUUGCAAAUAUGGUAACUCUGUUUCUAAAUAAGUUUAUUAAAUCAUGGCAUACUUAUGUCCAACCAUUCGAAAUGACAUUGUUAUCCAAUCUUUGUUUGAUUUGAAUCAGAACGAUAUUCUAAUAGUUUCAGUCAAGUAUGAGAUAUUAUUAUAAAUCUAAAGCCAUUUGAUUCGGUUAGAUCAUAGUCGAUAUACGUUCUAAAGGUUCAUAUUUUCUUUGAGAAGCUAAACCAAACCAAAUUGCUUGGUGCAAAUUCCUCUGAUAAAAUUGAGAUGAACAACCCUAUAAAAGGGUACAUGUUAUCGGAGACUAUAGUUUCGAACUCUGCUUAUGCGUUAUAUGUUUGUGUACAAUAUAUAGGUACAAAAGGCUGAUCAUCUGACGUACUAUGUUGAUGGUUUGUCUAUAGUCUUUUGAUCGUUAAAGGUUAUGGUAGAAAUACUAGAUAACCUGGGACAUAGUUUAUGAUUUUGUGACCCUCAGUAUACCUCUAAGUCCAAUAUCUUUUAUAUGCUUCGAGAAUUGAUUAUUCCGAUGGAUUCAAAGUUUUUAAAUAAUUGUUGAUUGAUUCCAAUACAGGUUUUCUCGUUUUGUUGUAGAAUAAUCAUUUGUUUCUUUCAUAAACUGCCUUGUUAUAAGUUAUUAUAUUUGCUGGGAAAUUUGAUUGCUCAUCCUUGUAUAAAACAUUUGAGUUUAAAACAAGAAGUUUGGAGAUCCAUCUAUAGACAAAGGCAAGGGAAAAGUGCAAAAAUACAUGUCUACUAGUCCAUCUUUUGUUUCGAUGUGUAAUAAGUAAAUGAUGUAAAUAUUUGCUUUUAUUAUUAUGUAAUAUUAAAGGUUAGAUAACUUAGGAAGCGACUAUAUGUAUGUAAUCUUUUGUAAGAUUUAUUACUAAUGUUGCUUGUUAUCCUACAUAAUGGGUAUACGUAGAAUAGAUGUUUGUAUGUAUUGGAUCGUGAGCACUGAAUCUGAGGGUAAAUGUACUCAGAAUUGGGGGCAUCACAUCUGCUUAAAUAUUUGAAUGAACCUGUUAAUAGAACUUUCUUUAUGUUCCUUUGGUUUCAACGAUGCAAUUGAAUGUUGUGAUGCCCCUAAUUUUGGGUACCUUUAAACCCCAACAAUGGUGCAUCACGGUACUACCUACUAGGCAUAAUAAUAAAGGCAGAAAUAUAAUUACUAAAUUAUUACAAAUCAUAUUAAUCUAACUUCCCAGGUUCUAAGACCUUUAAAAGUUUGGAAGCAUCAUAAUAUAAUAAUUAUUACAUCAUUUUAUUUAAUAGAUAUCAUUCUUAACUUAAACUAUUACAUAAUAUCUUUUACUUGGAAACUUUUCCUUUUCCUUUGUCUUUCUUACCCGAGUCUUCGCCCCGCUCGAGCUUAGCUUAAAACAUUUUUAUAUAAAGCAAGAAUAAGCUAAAAAGCUCAGCAAAUGUAACAGCUGAAUAAUAACAAAAUCAAGAAUCAUGUUUUUAUUUCAACAACUGAACAAUAGUUGUGAAACUAUCUCGAAUAAAUAGGAAUAAUAAUAAUAAAUUCUCUUUUUAUUUAACAUUUCUGAAACUACAUACUGAGCGGCCAAAAGACCUUGAAAAUUUUAUUUUUCAUAAAAGGUUUAACAGAAAUUCAUCUGUAACAGUCAUUUUCUAUGUACGUUAGAGGAACAACAUAUUGUACUUAUGUUGUGCACAACCUAUUUAUUUUAAACGACUAUUUGCGUUUAUUUUUACACUGCGAAGGCCAGUCGAAAAUUUGACCAAAAUUUUCCCUAAUAAUAGGGUUGUUCAUCUCAGACUUGAGUUAGAGUCCUUACCAAUUUAAUUUGGUUUAGAUAACAUUUAAGAAUUUAAUAAAUUCAAAUCAUGUCUUAACAUGUCUUUAGCCGAAACAACAAGACAUACAUAAUAAAAUAUCGAACUUUAAAUCUUUAAAUAACAUGAAGUUUUAGCAUACCGAAUAACUUAUGCAAUUCAAAAAAUUUAUUGCAUAAGUUUUGAUUUCACACAAUAUAUAAAUAGUGUGUAAAUUGACAUUUUAAUAUAAUCUGUAAAUGAAGCUAAAAAGCUCGUAAAAUAAUAUAAUUUGUAAAAAUAAAACGCGCGAAAGAGUUUAGGAAUACUAGCGUUUUUUAUUAUUUACUUUAAAAAUACUCUUCAAUUAUCUUACACAUUUAAUUAACAACAAUACAUUAAUUAGUCACAUAAAAAUUCCACAUAUUGGUUUACAUCACAUUAUUACUCAUUUUAUAUUAUUCGUGUUUUAUAAUUUAAUUAGCGCGAUAAUUUUCUUUAAAAUCGUCUUGCGGAGUUGCGGCAUUCUGGAACGCCACAACCCUCCUGACCACUCCUUAUGGUGGUUUAUAUCCAUUAAUAUUCAUUUUAUAAUAUUUACCAUUAUUAUUUUUAAUAUUUUUAUUUUUAUUUUUAAGUUGGAAUAUUUUAGAACAAUUGUCAAAAUAUCGCAUGACGUCGCGACACGGCACCUCGACAUGCCCGUGACAUGCAUGACCCCACACAACGUCGCCUAACGUGCCUCAAUGUGCACCAUGUUGCUCGACGUCCCUCAACAUGCUUCGAUAUGCAUCGCAUCGCGCGACGUUGCGUAAUAUGUCCUUACUUGACUGUUCUAACCCCACCUCCUUUGAACCUCAUAACUUGAUCAUUAUAAGUCGGAAUUAGUUCGUUCUUUCAUCCUUUUCUUCUUUGUAACAUCUACUACAAAUCCCUUAGGGAAGAAAUUUUUCCCAGACCCAUUUUCUAGCUGAAACAGUGGCCCAAAAAACCUCUUGAUAACUAACUUUCUAUUUUUGGCAUAUUUGACUUUUCUCCUUCUAAAUGGCAUAACUCCCACCUCCGUACUCGAAAUGAGGUCAUUAUUAUAUCCACGGACUCCUUACUUAACAUACUACAUAACCUCCAAAAUAAAAAAAAUUCCAGCAAGCCAAUCAGAACAGAAAAUUAUCCGAAAGUCAAGGUUCACACUAGUUAUUUUUUGCUUUUAACUAGUUUUACAAACAAAAUCGUCAUGACUUCGUUACAUAAGUUUUUGCUUCCGUUCCAAUAGGUGAUGUUCGUAACUCCUAGGAGCAUAACACAAUACCCUAAGAAUUAAUUUUUACAUUCGGAAGCUCACACAAAAAGCAUUCCAAAAUAGCCCCUAGUCCUCUAUUUAGUCCUUUUUCCAUUCCAUUACGCAUAGGUUUGUAUUUCAUUCUUGGUUCCACUUUUCAUGCAAUUUAACAAGUAGUUUAACAUAUUUAAACUAUAUACACCCUUAUCACUCCAAGAUCAUUCCAUGAUCUUUCAUUAAAACACAUCCACCAACAAAGCAUUUCCUAACAUACUAGAAAGCUUUUAAAAAAAGGAAAAGGAAGAAGUAGUUAGGGGUCUUACCUUUCUUGCUCUUCUUCUUCUUGAUCUUGGAUAGAUGAUCAAAAUCAAAGUUUUCUUCUUUCUCUUUUUCCUCUUGUUCAACCGAAUCCAAGCUCUCUCUCUCUCUCUCUUUUUCUUGCUUUUCUUUUCUCUCUCUUUUCUUACCAGUCUUAAGAAAUAAAGAUGAAAAAAACAAAAUGGCCAAGUGUUGGAUGAUUAAAU
This 11064-nucleotide long non-coding RNA is filed under the name Panax ginseng (ginseng). Its description in RNAcentral is "long non-coding RNA (PGIN_LNC004626)". Lineage: Eukaryota; Viridiplantae; Streptophyta; Magnoliopsida; Apiales; Araliaceae. The record is from RNAcentral.